Molecule: ribosomal RNA, 398 nt
Filed under: uncultured bacterium
Lineage: Bacteria
Description: partial 16S ribosomal RNA
Rfam family: Bacterial small subunit ribosomal RNA
Source: RNAcentral
AUACGUAGGGUGCGAGCGUUGUCCGGAAUUACUGGGCGUAAAGAGCUCGUAGGUGGUUUGUCGCGUCGUCUGUGAAAUUCCGGGGCUUAACUCCGGGCGUGCAGGCGAUACGGGCAUAACUUGAGUACUGUAGGGGAGACUGGAAUUCCUGGUGUAGCGGUGAAAUGCGCAGAUAUCAGGAGGAACACCGGUGGCGAAGGCGGGUCUCUGGGCAGUAACUGACGCUGUGGAGCGAAAGCAUGGGUAGCGAACAGGAUUAGAUACCCUGGUAGUCCAUGCCGUAAACGGUGGGCGCUAGGUGUAGGGGUCUUCCACGACUUCUGUGCCGUAGCUAACGCAUUAAGCGCCCCGCCUGGGGAGUACGGCCGCAAGGCUAAAACUCAAAGGAAUUGACGGGG